Molecule: long non-coding RNA, 6398 nt
Filed under: Ananas comosus (pineapple)
Lineage: Eukaryota; Viridiplantae; Streptophyta; Magnoliopsida; Poales; Bromeliaceae
Description: long non-coding RNA (ACOM_LNC026645)
Source: RNAcentral
GGCUCCAGAAUAUAUAAAAGGAAAGACCAAGAUGUGGGAUGUUGGACAAGAUUCUUUCGACACAUCCGAUGGUGUUGGUCUUCUUGAAAUUGCAAAUCUUUCACUUGAUGAGCCAAAUUUGGAGAAUGUGGUAUUUAUUGAUGAUUCCAAUGAGAAUGAAACUAAACCAAAAUGAAGUCUUUUGAUGAAAACCCUGUCCUUUUCUUUUUGUUGUUUUGAAUGUGGACUAUACAUGUAAGUCGUAAGAUGAAUAUCAUGAUGUUUUGUGGUCUGGUGAAUGACUGAAUGGAAAUACUAUAUUUGUUUUGCUUUUACUCAUUUGUUUAUUUUAGAUAUUUCAAUAUGUCAUGACAUAUUAUCAACAUAAAUUUAUUUAUACAUAUUAAAAUAAUAUGUUAUUUAGAUACCCCUGACGUAUCGUAUCCUAGAGUUUGGGACAAUGCCGUAUCGCCCGUAUCGUGUCGUAACCAUAUCCCCGUAUUCGUAUUCGUGCAACACAGGUUGAGAUGUUGCGUUUUCCUAUUGUAGUGGUUUAGUGAUUCUGGAUUAUGGUUUUGGAUUAUUAGCUGUACGGUUGUUUUGACUGCUUGUGGUUAUGUAUCUGUGCUCCUCUGCCGUGCAUGUACAAGAGAGACUCUGUCUACAUGGACAGAGGAUGCCCUGUGCGUGUAGCGGGUCUGUACAUGUUUCGGGCAAGAUUUCAAAUAAGGUUUAGAGGGGUAUUAAAUUCUCAAUUAAAUAAGGUUUAUGAUUACGAAUGGAUUAAAGCUCGGACAUUUUGCUCAUAUAUAGCCUAAGAGGGCCUACUCCACCUCUUUAACUCUUCCUCUUUCUUUCUCUCUCUUCCGCCCCCCCCCGCCCCCACCCCUCUAAAAAAAAUGAAAGAAAAAGAGAGCAACAGGGUGAACUUAGGGAAUAGAGAUUGCCGGUGAAGUUCACAGGGUGAAGCCUAUAUCUCCCUCAUUUCAUUAAGGCAAAAUAGGUAGUGAUCAUGGAGGGAAAAUGAUGAUUUGCAACCGAUCUCACAACAAAGCCUGGAGCAACUAUCCAUGGGAGGUCGUUUUGUGGGCAAAAAGGGAGAACCAGUACCAACAAAAUUGUAGUGCACUUAACUUUUGCAAAUUGCGAGUUCUAGUGAGAGAAUAGUGCUUAAUACUAUUCUGAAGGUUUGGACUGAGUUUAGUGAGCUUAGGAGUGUCUUCGAGGCUUAAUAAGCGCGAAAACGGACUCCGUAGAUCAAAUUCGGCAAAAAUUGCAUGGUUUGAGUUGAGUACCAAUACUAGACUUGAGGUAUCGGAACUCUAUAGAGUGCCAAAUUGGGCAACUCUCGGGUUCUACAAAACUCAGCUCUGGAUACCGGUACUAGGCUGAGUACCGGUACUACAUUGGGCGGAUACAUGAACGCAAUGAAAAAUCAGAAAUACCAACGUUCGGGUUUUGCGGUACUGGACCCCUUGUAUCGGAACAGACUAUGGAGUACCGGUACUCCAAAUCAUGUAUCAGUACUCAAUGUUGCAGAACCUGUUUCGUACUAAAUGCAAUUACUGAGUUUUGGAGGGGCUUUUGGGGUAUUGUUUCAACUAGUAUAACAUACCCUAUACUCCCUCAUUCUCUUUUGUUGGUUGAGAAUGGAGAGGGAGUAGAGGUGAGCUUCUCUCCCUUUUUCUCUUGGAUUUCUUCCUCUAAACCUCUAAUCUUUGGGUUUAAUCUCUUUUUCUUCCUCUCCUCUUUGGAUGCAAGAACUUUGAUCUUGGAGGGGAGCUCGAUGAUGUAAAGAGAAGCUUGUUGGAGGAUCAAACUUCACACUAGCAUCUCAUGGCUUGGUUUGAAGCUUAAUUUGAAGUUAGUAACUUUCUUGUACUCUCUAUUUAGGAGAUUACAAGAAAUUUUGGUGAAAAACCUAGUUUUGUAGAAACUAGGAUUGGUUUUGGAGCUUUUCUUUUAAAAGUUUUUUGGAUGGAAUUGAUGAGUGUAGAACACUCUUUUAGAUCGGAUUUGAACAUGCUUCACUUUGGUUUGAACCUUGGACAAGAUUUUCUUAUGUUAAGGUAAUUUUUAUCUAAUUUUUACUUGAUUUUAGGUAAAUUUCAUGGGAAGCUUUUUAGAAGCUUGUAACCCCUUUGAAAUUUUUCUUAGAGUGCUAGAAGUCUAGAGGGCAACUUCAUUUGGAGAAACGAACAAGUUUCGAAGGAUAUCCGAUAGGUUUGAUCUCACCAAAAUGGGUGAACUUCCUCUAUGUCUCCUAUAUUGUUAUAGGAUUUGUUAAUGCAUAUUUAUGCUAUUCUUGACAUGCUAGAAUUUUUGGAUACAUGAUGCAUAUAUGUUAUAUAUGAAAUUGGAAAUAGUCUACGUAGUAGAGGGUUAUGAUGAUAACAUGCAUAUUAUAUCAUAUGUAAUAUCAAGUUCCUCUUAUGCAAACAUAGGCAUGCAUGUUAGAUGCAAAAAUUGCAUGGCAAUUUUUAGAUGAAUAGUAAUAUCAUAUAAGAUGAAUAGUAAUAUCACAUGAGACACUAUAUGGUUAAUGGAAUUAUUAGAUUCAAAAAUUGCAUGGCAAUCAAUAUACUUGCUAUAGAUGAAAGUAAACAUGACAUAUGGCAUGUAAUGACAAAAUGUAGAACUAAGUAUGUUUCACUUAGUUUAGAUGAGAUGAAUAACUAAAGUGGACAUUAUGACAUUGUACCCAACCUUUAGGUCGUUAGAUGUAAUUCCAUGUUUUAGACAUGACGAAAGAGUUUUCUACGCAUUUGAAUAUAUAUAUAUGGCAAAGGUAUAAUUGUUUAGUUAAAUGAGGGGUAAUUGUUUGCAUGAUGAAUCUCAUACUCCAUGUAGUGGAGGUUCAUGUAGUAAGGCGUAUGCAUGAUAUGAUCUUGUGGACAUCCUCAUAAUUCUAUGAAUAUGCCAUUAGUAAGUUGUUUCCUUCGUGCUAUAGUGGAAAUAGUAGAUGUUGUCACCCGUUAGGGUCAUAAUGAGAUGUAAACCUAUACAUACUUGAGACAUGUUGCAUAUCGGUAGAAACAUACCAUCGAAUUUAUUGAAGAUGAAACAUGACAUUUAUGUUAUAGUAUCCGACCUUGAGCCGAUGAUUGAGAUUCCAUAUUUUAGACAUAAUGAUUGAGAUAUGUGGCCUUUGGACAUGAUGCUUAUGAUCACGCUUGCUUGCCUUUGUGCUCAUUCGCACAAGCUUGUGAGGGUCGCUCCCUACAAGCCGGCACUCCGCAUUUAGCCUUUGCGACAACAUGCUUGCCCGUGCAAGAUUGGGCGCCGAAGUGAAUUGCCGUGGGAAAGGCUCAUUCCUAGAGGGGGAAUAUUGACUACCACGGGGCCAUUAGGCACGACACAAGCCAGAACGUCACCAUGUGUAAGCCCCUCGUUAAUUGGGUAAAGUUAAGAAAACUUAACAUCGUACAUCACAAUUAGUUGAUGCAUAUAAAGUAAGUGGACAUACUAAUGGGCUAUUACUUUGUAACCCUACUUGAUGCAUUCAUAGAAGUUGGACAUUCAUGUUAGUCAUUGUUGGUAUUGACAACCUUAGUGGUAGUAAAUCUAUACACAUGUUGGUUAGUAUAGAUGUAUAACUAUAUGACGAUAAUGAAAGGAAAAUACUUGUCCAUGUAAACUUGCAUGUAAGCUUGCAUAUACAAAUACUUGCGCAUGUGACAGUAGAAAAUCAUAUACAUGUUAGAUUGUUAGUUGACAUUAUCAUGUAGAGGCAUGACUAUAAUUGAAUCUGACCAAUUAAUUGUCACUUUAUGCUUAAUACUUCUUGUAUUUUUAUCAUGCCUUAGUUGACCUAGUGGUGUAUUUUGCCUCUCGGCGGCUUAUCCACCGGGAACUAUUGUUUAAUAAUUCUCACCUCCAUUGGUUGUUUGUUUUUAUUUCAGAACCUUCCACGACGGGAGACGCUAGGGAUCGUGGCAAGGGGUUCGCGACUAGCUAGAACUUCUUCGGUGUUGUUAUAAAGGGACCCAUCGACAUUUUUCAUUUAGUCUAGUUUGAAGAUGUACAAUUAUAUCUUUUAUUCCUUGUUGUAUAAUUUUGUAAGGUAUUUGUAUUAAGCUCUUUAUGUAGUUCACUCGUGCUUGUUUUUGUAGAAGGUUUUUGUACUCGCUCUGAUCGCCAUGUUUAGAAUUCGUUCCUACUUCUUUCUUAUGUUGUUGUUGUUGUAGAAGCCUUGUGUGCAUCGGGAGUGCUUGGUGUACACAACGAGUCUGUGCACGCACCGGGUGGGCUUCCGCUGGAGCCCGGGGCGUGACAAAAAUCACCUUCGGGUGCGCACACAGCGACCCGAACAAGUUCAUUGCCACACCCCUAGUGCACCAGUCAAUCAGAGCCACUGCAUAUUGCUGCACUAACGCCACACAUUGGAGCUACUGCCUUACUACUAGGGGUGUCAACGAGCCGAACACGAGCGAGCUGGCGAACACGAGUUGGGUCGUUAAAGUAUCGAGCCGAAAAAUUCAGUUCGUAUUCAAGCUGGCUCACGGGUUAGAUUGGAUAUAUAUAAAAAAUAAAUUUAUAAAAUCUUACCCAUUAGACUUUGAUCUAAUAGUUGAAACUUUACAUAUAAAUAGGUAUUUUUAUAAUUGAGCUCAUCUUUAUAUUUUAUUUUGCUAAAAAUCAAAUAAUAAAAAAAUAUAUUAUAUAUAAUUAUUUAUUUAUAUAUAAAUAUGAAUAUAUAUAUAUAUAUAUAUAAAUUAAAUAAAUUAUAUAAAUAUAAAUAUAUGUAUUCGAGUUGUUAUCGAGCCGAACACAAGCGAGCUGACCUCAGCUCGUGUUCGGCUCAUUUAUUAAACGAGCUGAAAAAUUCAGCUCGCGUUCGGCUCAUUUACUGAACGAGUGAUUCGAUCUCAAAGCUCAUAUCGAGCCGAACACGAGCUAGCUCGCAAACGGGGAGCUGGAUUGCCACGCCUGCUUACUGCUGCAUAAGGUACACCACCAUUGAUGCAUGGUUGGUGCUACACCACCUCUGAUAGCAACUAGGCUGCACCAAGGAGCUUGACCAACUAUUGCCUCCACUUUUAUAAACAAAAAUUUUUCUUUAUAAAGUAUUUUCUCAUUAUAAAGAAAUUUUGCAUGCUUCUAUGAUUAAUAUACGCAAAAUUUUCUUAUUAUAAAGAAUGUCCUGUUUGUAAGUAUGCCUCUUUGGUGUCAUUAGAUUUUUUUUCAAUUUAAAAUUUGUCUUCUUUUUUCUUGUUCUUUUUUAUUUUGGGCAUUCGUUUACAUGCUUUUGUGGGAAAAGAUUUUCUAUAACAACAGAUUCAACAAUCUGCUUUUUGUAUAAAACUUGUCAUGUUUAUUUUUCAAAACUAUUUUUUCUUGCUAAUAUUUUUAUGGAUAAAGAUAAUAUAAAAAAAUAUCUGAAGGGCAAUUUUAUAUUAACUUUCAUUUUAACUUUUAAUUUUCUCUAGCUUAUUCUUUUGUUCUAUUUUUUAAGCUUUUAUGAAUAAAAAUUUGGCCAAUUUGCAUAAAAAAUCCACUUAUUUUGGGGUUUUGCAAAAUCGGGCCACCUUUUUCCUUUUUGCAGAUUCGGUCCGCUUUUUCCGCCGCCUGACCAAAAUGCCCCUCCUAUACAAUAGCCUCCCGCGUAUUUCUUGACAUACGUAUACUGCCCUGCCGUACGGUCUGGCGCGCAUUAAUUGACCGCUUAUUUCUCGGAACCCGGACAACAUCCGACCCCGCUAUUCGCCGGUCCCGCUGUUUCCUGUUCUGCUUAAGACUUUACGAAAUUUUCGAACGCUAUUGACAAAAAGUGCGCGCUCCGCAACAGGGAUAAUAGUGCAAUGUGAAGUCUACGAAAUGAGAAAUGGUGCAACUGACCUCUAUAACAGUGCAUCCUAGCCUCGUUCCAGUGCAAACAAACCAUAAUCAGUCAAAAUUUANAAGCUUAUUUAAAUAACAUAAUUAAAUUUAAAUAGCAUAACAUAAAAAGGUAAGCUUUUCGUUUGCUGGGAAGUCAUUACUAAACUAAUGGUUCCCGCCUGAAGGGGUGAUUGAAGCUAGACUAUAAAAAUUCGAAAUUCUGUAUACAUGGACCCCCCUUUUUUCACCUUCUUUUCAACUGCCAGUGCCAGAUCUUAUGAAUUCGGGUCAAUUGAAUCUCAACUGUUCCAAUUUUGUCUCUUGAAGAAGUAAAUGAGUUAUAUUGAGUUCUAUUCUAUUAGAAUAGAAAUAUGUUAGAAUAGAAAUAUUUUAAAUAUUUAAAAUUGUUAAAUGUAAUUUAAUAUUGUUUAAUGUAUAUAUAUAUAUAUAUAUAUAUAUAUGAUAUGUUAUCAUAUGUGUUUUUUGAGAAUGCUCAUUGAAUAAGCAAUUCAAUAACAAAUUUCGGAUCUAAUCAAUAUUGAUAUACCAAGUAUCUUAUCUGUUGAUACGAAAUAUUCUGGUGAUCCCCACGCCGGUUU